RNAcentral lists this ribosomal RNA (484 nucleotides) under uncultured bacterium. RNAcentral describes it as "partial 16S ribosomal RNA". It matches the Rfam family "Bacterial small subunit ribosomal RNA", at positions 30 to 507 of the family's 1533-position model. The record is from RNAcentral.
AUUGAACGCUGGCGGCAGGCCUAACACAUGCAAGUCGAGCGGAUGAAGGGAGCUUGCUCCUGGAUUCAGCGGCGGACGGGUGAGUAAUGCCUAGGAAUCUGCCUGGUAGUGGGGGAUAACGUCCGGAAACGGGCGCUAAUACCGCAUACGUCCUGAGGGAGAAAGUGGGGGAUCUUCGGACCUCACGCUAUCACAUGAGCCUACGUCGGAUUAUCUAGUUGGUGGGGUAAAGGCCUACCAAGGCGACGAUGCAUAGCUGGGCUGAGAGGCUGAUCGGCCACAGAGGGACUGAGACACGGCCCAGACUCCUACGGGAGGCAGCAGUAGGGAAGCUUACGCAAUGGACGCAAGUCUGACGGAGCAACGCCGCGUGAGUGAAGAAGGUCUUCGGAUCGUAAAGCUCUGUUGUUAGAGAAGAACAGCGCAUAGAGUAACUGCUAUGCGUGUGACGGUAUCUAACCAGAAAGCCACGGCUAACUACGUG